This 267-nucleotide ribosomal RNA is filed under the name uncultured bacterium. RNAcentral describes it as "partial 16S ribosomal RNA". It matches the Rfam family "Bacterial small subunit ribosomal RNA", at positions 793 to 1055 of the family's 1533-position model. The record is from RNAcentral.
GUCCACGCUGUAAACGAUGAUAACUAGGUGUUGGAGGUAUUGACCCCUUCAGCGCCGCAGCUAACGCAUUAAGUUAUCCGCCUGGGGAGUACGGUCGCAAGACUAAACUCAAAGGAAUUGACGGGGCCCGCACAAGCGGUGGAGUAUGUGGUUUAAUUCGACGCAACGCGAAGAACCUUACCUGGGUUAGAAAUCAACCAGAAGGUCUGUAGAGAUAUGGAUCGUCCCCGCAAGGGGACUGGUUGACAGGUGCUGCAUGGCUGUCGU